This 412-nucleotide ribosomal RNA is filed under the name uncultured bacterium. Its description in RNAcentral is "bacterial SSU rRNA". It matches the Rfam family "Bacterial small subunit ribosomal RNA", at positions 505 to 916 of the family's 1533-position model. The record is from RNAcentral.
GUGCCAGCAGCCGCGGUAAUACGGAGGGUGCAAGCGUUAAUCGGAAUUACUGGGCGUAAAGCGUGCGUAGGCGGUUUAUUAAGUCAGAUGUGAAAGCCCCGGGCUUAACCUGGGAACUGCAUUUGAAACUGGUCAACUAGAGUAUGGUAGAGGAAAGUGGAAUUUCUGGUGUAGCGGUGAAAUGCGUAGAUAUCAGAAGGAACAUCAAUGGCGAAGGCAGCUUUCUGGACCAAUACUGACGCUGAGGUACGAAAGCGUGGGUAGCAAACAGGGUUAGAUACCCUGGUAGUCCACGCCGUAAACGAUGAUAACUAGCCGUUGGGGGGAUCUACCCUUUAGUGGCGAAGCUAACGCGUUAAGUUAUCCGCCUGGGGAGUACGGCCGCAAGGUUAAAACUUAAAGGAAUUGACGG